GGGCUGCCAGGGCGGGCCAGGGCCGGCUUUAUCCUGAAUGCUGCAGCCUGUUCCCUGACUGGCCGCGCAGAAGGAAGAAAAUCUUGUGGCCUAUCUGUCUGGGACCAAGCAGAGUCUGAAAGGCUUCCUGUGACAUCUACACAGGCUGUGAGGAAGUAGAGAUGUCACAGAACGUUCCAGGAACGUUAGACUAUGUUUCAGGCAGUGCCUAUGACUUGGGACAGUGAUGUAAGUCAUCAUCUUGGCCUUUCGAUAUGAGACAAGCAGCGAACCCAGUAGCCACCUUUGUAUCACAGAGAUGCAGGUUUGCAAAGAAGAAUGGAACUGUUAAAGAGCCUUCCUAGUGGCUACCAGGAGGAAAUACGUGCAGUGAUAACUGGUGUCUGAGGGGGAAGAUGUUUUAUGUAUUGUGGGCACUCUGUGGCCAUCUCAGGAAGAGCAUUUGUGCAAGCUCUUCUCUGUACAACAGAAGAUGCCAGGUUAUCAAUACAUCAUUUACAAAUUGUUGGUGUUUAUUCACUGAAGCACAAUAGCGUCAGGAGAAACAACUGAGCUGGAAAAGCUUUAUCCAAGUGUCAACCCCCGACUGGAACAUGAAGUAGAAAUUGACAAAUAUAUUUCCCACACAGGACACAUUUAUUUUCCUUGAAUAAUUAUUUAUCUCCAUCUUGUCUUUAAAAUGAUUUAUGACAUCUUGUGCCAAAUAUUAAAAGUCCGCACCCCGAUGAGCUAAAAACCAAGACAUCGUUCUAUCUUAAGGGUAUAAAUAUUUUGUACAUCAUAUGAAUUAAUGUACAUGUGGGGCUGAACAAAACCAGCAACCUGAACUGAUGGUAUUAGAGUUCUUUCUCUCCUCACAAAUCUGCUUUCA
RNAcentral lists this long non-coding RNA (871 nucleotides) under Mus spicilegus (steppe mouse). Its description in RNAcentral is "lncRNA (ENSMSIG00000003666.1)". The record is from RNAcentral. Lineage: Eukaryota; Metazoa; Chordata; Mammalia; Rodentia; Muridae.